GGCUGAUCUGAAGGUGGUGGUCAUCAGUUGAGAGUCACAGUUUCAGAUUCAGCUCCCUAUCCUGCUCUUUUCUCUUCUCACUACUGCACUUGACUAGUCUUUU
This 103-nucleotide Y RNA is filed under the name Carlito syrichta (Philippine tarsier). RNAcentral's name for it is "Y RNA (ENSTSYG00000019758.2)". It matches the Rfam family "Y RNA". From Rfam's summary of the family: Y RNAs are components of the Ro ribonucleoprotein particle (Ro RNP), in association with Ro60 and La proteins. The Y RNAs and Ro60 and La proteins are well conserved, but the function of the Ro RNP is not known. The record is from Rfam by way of RNAcentral. Lineage: Eukaryota; Metazoa; Chordata; Mammalia; Primates; Tarsiidae.